RNAcentral lists this ribosomal RNA (253 nucleotides) under uncultured bacterium. Its description in RNAcentral is "partial 16S ribosomal RNA". It matches the Rfam family "Bacterial small subunit ribosomal RNA", at positions 524 to 776 of the family's 1533-position model. The record is from RNAcentral.
GACGUAGGGGGCAAGCGUUGUCCGGAUUUAUUGGGCGUAAAGAGCGUGUAGGUGGCCAUGUAGGUCCGUUGUGAAAACUCGAGGCUCAACCUCGAGACGCCGAUGGAAACCAUGUGGCUAGAGUCCGGAAGAGGAGAGUGGAAUUCCUGGUGUAGCGGUGAAAUGCGCAGAUAUCAGGAAGAACACCCCUGGCUAAGGCGGCUCUCUGGGACGGUACUGACGCUGAGACGCGAAAGCGUGGGGAGCAAACAGG